GUUUUGCAGCCUGGGAGGUUUUAAUUUUCCCAGUUUCUUGUCCCACAGUUUCACUUUGGUCCGUUGACGUUUCCCUGUUAUUGACCCCCGGCAGCAAAAGGCUUGGAAUGGCAGAAGAGACUUAAUGAGGCACUUUACAUGUCCCUCAUGAGAAGUGGCUCAGGAACCUCGGAGUGAAAUUGUUUUCCUGUCCUGCAAAAUGUUUCAGAAACUUUCUAUUCCUGAAUUGAGGCUGCUGCUUGGACUGUUUUCCAUCUCCUUCUAUCACACGGAGCUCCAUUAAGAGGCCCUGCUCCAGCUCCUUGGGGGUCUGCAAGAAGGAACAUGGCCUAAACCUGGUCCCUGGAGGGACAGUUGCCACCUCCCAGAGGACACAGCUCACAUUCCAACGUGUCUUGCGACUUGUGACUUGGAACAAAACCUGCAGGAGCUGAGCCAUGAGAGGGCCUGUUCUCCUAUUGAAAAGCAACAGAGAGCAGAGAGCAAUGGGACAGCCUCCAGACAGUGAGAAAUGGUGUGUGAGGCUCUCUCUGUCUCCUGGAGGAAGAAGUCAGGGGGCUGUUUGAGGCCUUUGUCUGUUCACAUCAAAUCAGGAGAGAUGUGGCCUCUGAGGGAGUGAUGUCCACACACCUGGCACGGACAGGAGGUACCUUGAUGGGCAGUCACACAGCAGGUAUUUCUCUGAGCAGAUCCUGCUGUUGGGGCUUCUGUUCCCCAGCACGUUCCUGUUUUAUCUGCUCCUUUGGCAGAGGUGUCAGGCAGCACAAUGAAACUCCUCAGGAAAUGGAGACACAGAAGUUUAAUAAAUGCAAGUUAUCUAAAAGA
Long non-coding RNA from Chiroxiphia lanceolata (lance-tailed manakin), 825 nucleotides. RefSeq lists it as uncharacterized. Lineage: Eukaryota; Metazoa; Chordata; Aves; Passeriformes; Pipridae. The record is from RefSeq and is a predicted model, not a curated record. The transcript has 7 exons.